AUCAGCCAUGAACGGAUGGGUGUAAUGCCUGCUGGCUCAAAGGGGUCCUUCCGUGUGUUGCGGUCUUGUGGCGUUCUGCAGGCCCCCUGCCAGUGACCCCAGGCUUUUUAUGGCUGUGAGACUCAUUAAAAGCUCAGGGGUGAGAAGUGACCUUUUGAGGUGACUAUAACUGAAGAGUGAAUUACAGAAGCCCCCCCAAAAAAAACAAAAACAAAAAAACAAAAAAAAGGUAAAAUCAUACAUAAAUGCUAGACUUGCAUAUAAAACUAUUUCAACCUUUGGGGUGUGGG
Molecule: long non-coding RNA, 290 nt
Filed under: Meriones unguiculatus (Mongolian gerbil)
Lineage: Eukaryota; Metazoa; Chordata; Mammalia; Rodentia; Muridae
Description: lncRNA (ENSMUGG00000018967.1)
Source: RNAcentral